Molecule: long non-coding RNA, 573 nt
Organism: Alosa alosa (allis shad)
Lineage: Eukaryota; Metazoa; Chordata; Actinopteri; Clupeiformes; Clupeidae
Exons: 3
Source: RefSeq, a predicted model, not a curated record
CCUGCCUCUGUCACUUCCCAACGCACGCCUUCCUGCCGUCCGCCGCACCAUCCAUGCUUGCCUCACUGGCCUCCAUGCUGUCUUGGUGCAUGGCUUGUUCCACCACGGUGCACUUUCAGGAACAUACACCCUGCCUCAAGUGAUGAGUCGCUGCUACACCGGUGUUGUGGGCCUAAGUCAUCUGGACGUGCAUGGUGCUCACUGCUGCUUUGCUGAGUUUUGGUCCGUGUAUUAUCCGUUGUCAAGACAUUGUUUCCUGCUUCACCGUUCGCGUGCUGUGGCACCGAAGCUAGCGGCAGUGGUGGGCGCAGACACCUGCUUUUAGUGUUGGUCUGGCGUGAUCGUGAAUGAAUGUACGGUCAUACACAUGCAAUUAAUGUGUAUGACCAUAACCAUGUGUUAAUGUGUGUGCAUUGUUAUUUGUGUCUUGUGGUGGUUGCUGUUGGUUUAUGAUUUUGGCACUGGUAGGAGGCCACCUCUGUUGCUGCAGAUAACCUGAGAUUGUGGUACCCUACCACUGUUAUGUGUGUUUGUGUUUACCAUUUAUUAUUUUGUUUCCAGGAGCUGAGCCCA